This is a ribosomal RNA of 649 nucleotides. The stretch from base 240 to 393 matches the Rfam family "5.8S ribosomal RNA".
UUAGGGACUGCGGAUGACAUUAUCGAGUUUUAUUUGAACGGGUUGUAGCUGGUCUUUUAAUCGAGGCAUGUGCACGCUCGGCUCAAUUCCACUCUCAACCACUGUGCACUUUUUGUAAGAUCGGUUAGAAGGACUUUGUUACUUUCAUUAGUAACUCGGUUUGGAAGCCUUUCUUAUGUUUACUACAAACGCUUCAGUUAUAGAAUGUUAUAAAUCGUGUCAUAACACAUUUAAUAUACAACUUUCAGCAACGGAUCUCUUGGCUCUCGCAUCGAUGAAGAACGCAGCGAAAUGCGAUAAGUAAUGUGAAUUGCAGAAUUCAGUGAAUCAUCGAAUCUUUGAACGCACCUUGCGCUCCUUGGUAUUCCGAGGAGCAUGCCUGUUUGAGUGUCAUGGAAUUCUCAACCCUUGGAAUUUAUUUUCUAAUGGGCUUGGACUUGGAGGCUUGUGUCGGCUCUUUGCCAGUCGACUCCUCUUAAAUGCAUUAGCGUGAAUUCUUACGGAUCGCCUUCAGUGUGAUAAUUAUCUGCGCUGUGGUGUUGAAGUAUUUUUAUAUUCAUGCUUAUAAUCGUCUCCUCACCGAGACAAUUAUUAUUAUGACAUCUGACCUCAAAUCAGGUAGGACUACCCGCUGAACUUAAGCAUACUA